RNAcentral lists this transfer RNA (75 nucleotides) under Candidatus Avidehalobacter gallistercoris. RNAcentral describes it as "tRNA-Asn". It matches the Rfam family "tRNA". Rfam says of the family: Transfer RNA (tRNA) molecules are approximately 80 nucleotides in length. Their secondary structure includes four short double-helical elements and three loops (D, anti-codon, and T loops). Further hydrogen bonds mediate the characteristic L-shaped molecular structure. tRNAs have two regions of fundamental functional importance: the anti-codon, which is responsible for specific mRNA codon recognition, and the 3' end, to which the tRNAs corresponding amino acid is attached (by aminoacyl-tRNA synthetases). tRNAs cope with the degeneracy of the genetic code in two manners: having more than one tRNA (with a specific anti-codon) for a particular amino acid; and 'wobble' base-pairing, i.e. permitting non-standard base-pairing at the 3rd anti-codon position. The record is from RNAcentral. RNAcentral also lists the same sequence under 1 other name. Lineage: Bacteria; Bacillati; Bacillota; Clostridia; Eubacteriales; Peptococcaceae.
UCCUCGAUAGCUCAACGGUAGAGCACUCGGCUGUUAACCGAGGGGUUGUUGGUUCGAAUCCAACUCGGGGAGCCA